Long non-coding RNA from Astatotilapia calliptera (eastern happy), 553 nucleotides. Lineage: Eukaryota; Metazoa; Chordata; Actinopteri; Cichliformes; Cichlidae. The record is from Ensembl.
GUUAUCUUAGUGUGUUCAGUUUACGUUUCCUUGUCUCGUCAGGUCUAAUUUGCCCCAGCUGUGUUUCCCUCCUGUGGUCCAUUCCCUGAUUGCUCCUUCUAUGUAUUUAAGCCCUGUGUGUCAGUUGGUCAUGUUCGCGAUCUCCCCCGCGUUGUAAAUAGUUUGACGUCUUGUUGUAAAUAAAUAGUUUGUUGUAAAUACUUUCGUUUCGGGAUUUUGGUGGAGAGCCUUAGUGGGGUUUUUUUUUGUGUGUUUUUUUUUCUUUAUUUUUACUUUUUUUCGUGUUGCACUCCGGUUGCCUAGGCCGGGGUGUAACAUAUGGGGGCUCGUCCAAUCGCUGGAGGGGCCCGGGGACCGCUUCAGCCGUCCGCCGUCGCUGGAGGGUCCGAGGGAGGGACCGCUUCAGCCGUCUGUCUUCGCUGGAGGGUCCGAGGGCCGGUCCAGCCUUCAUCCGCCUUCGCUGGAGGGUCCGAGGGACCGUCCCGGCCUUCGUCGUCUGCUGGAGGGUCCGAGGGACUGCUCCAGCCUUCAUCCGCCUUCGCUGGAGGGUCCG